UACGUAGGGUGCAAGCGUUGUCCGGAAUUAUUGGGCGUAAAGAGCUCGUAGGCGGUGUGUCACGUCGGCCGUGAAAACCUGCAGCUUAACUGUGGGCGUGCGGUCGAUACGGGCAUCACUGGAGUUCGGCAGGGGAGACUGGAAUUCCUGGUGUAGCGGUGAAAUGCGCAGAUAUCAGGAGGAACACCGGUGGCGAAGGCGGGUCUCUGGGCCGAUACUGACGCUGAGGAGCGAAAGCGUGGGGAGCGAACAGG
This 254-nucleotide ribosomal RNA is filed under the name uncultured bacterium. RNAcentral's name for it is "partial 16S ribosomal RNA". It matches the Rfam family "Bacterial small subunit ribosomal RNA", at positions 524 to 776 of the family's 1533-position model. The record is from RNAcentral.